CCAAGCUGUGAGGCUCAAGAACACCAGGUGUGUAAAGCAAAGCAAAACAAAACAAUUAUUUACAACUUAAUUUAAACGUAACAAAUUAUUUCUUCAAAAUACAAAAAUAGGGAAACUAGAGAAAAGUAAUUUCAAAACUAGGGCCCUUCAGCUCAAAUUGAGGUCAGCUAAACAAACAGCAACCUAAACUGAACUCAACAUAACUGACCUGCCAAAUGACGCAAAGGGAGGGUUUAAUAUAUAAACACAAUAUAAAAUAAACACAAAGGCAACUCUUUAUGACAAAUUAACCUUAAUAUCAACAAAGAUUUCAAUCAAGAAAUGAUUUACAAUCAAACUAACUGUCCAACCAAGAAAAAACAAAAUUUUAAGUCCCAAAAUAAUUAAAGCUAACUAGUUCCCAAAAGGCAAACUUCCCUCUGGCAUGCCCGGUUGACCUCUUCCACUUCCUGCCUGCCACAGUAUAAGAGGCCCUCUUUACUGGAGCCACGUCUUUUGGCCAGGGGAGGACUUUCUGGAUCCAUGAAAAAAGAAAAGGGGCAGGUUCCUGAGCAUGCUAAUUAUCAGGAUGGGACACAGAAGCGGCCAGUUCAGAUCUCCCUUCUCUCCUCCACACAUUCCUGUGUUGCUUUUGGUUCUGUUUUUCUUGUUUCAUCAUACAACACCCACACAGCAUACAUUCACUCAUCCACUCCCUACACGACUGAUUUUACAGACUAACCCUACCUAGUAUCUUUUGUUUGUUUUGAGUACUUUGUGUUAAAUAAAUUUACUUUUGUAUUAUUG
This is a long non-coding RNA of Thunnus maccoyii (southern bluefin tuna), 786 nucleotides long. RefSeq lists it as uncharacterized. The record is from RefSeq and is a predicted model, not a curated record. The transcript has 2 exons. Lineage: Eukaryota; Metazoa; Chordata; Actinopteri; Scombriformes; Scombridae.